GCCAAGUUGGCUCCUCUUACCUUAAUUACUGUUGCUGGCUGGCAGUCUGUGGGCUUGCUGGCUGCGGCUGGCAGGCUGUGGGCUUGCUGGCUACUGCCGGCAGGCUGUGGGCUUGCUGACUGCGGCUGGCAGGCUGUGGGCUUGCUGACUGCGGCUGGCAGGCUAUGGCUUGCUGGCUGUAAGCCUGUGGCUUGCUGUAGGCCUGUGGGCUGGCUACUGGCCUGUGGGCUGGCUACUGGCCAGCCUGUGGGUUGGCUGGCUGGCUACUGGGGCACUUGUAGAUUAUUUAAAGAAAUAAUCCAUGCACAAUAACCACUACUGCUCCAGAGUAAGUAGUCAAACCGUUUAAGAACAGUUUGACAACUUGCCUGGGGUCUGCUGGGAUAUGAGGCUGUAGUAGGGAAUAGGAGCAGUGGUGCAAUGUGUGUGAAAGGUUCAGUGUGUGUGUGGGGGUGUAGUGUGUGAAUGUGUAGGGUGUGUGGGCGGUGUAUGUGUGUGGCAAUGUUAGUAUGGGGGGCUGUGUAUGGGGGUCUGUGUGUAUAUGGGUGGGCAGUGUAUGUGUGUGUGUGUGUGUGUGAGGCAAUGUGUGUAAAUGUGUAUGGUGUGUAUGGGGGCAGUGUGUGAAUGUGUAUGGUGUGUGUGUGGGGG
This is a non-coding RNA of Pelobates cultripes (western spadefoot toad), 648 nucleotides long. Lineage: Eukaryota; Metazoa; Chordata; Amphibia; Anura; Pelobatidae. The record is from the annotation of a GenBank genome assembly.